This 1264-nucleotide long non-coding RNA is filed under the name Gallus gallus (chicken). RNAcentral's name for it is "long non-coding RNA NONGGAT009164". The record is from RNAcentral. Lineage: Eukaryota; Metazoa; Chordata; Aves; Galliformes; Phasianidae.
GAAUCUUCUUUAAUUACAAGUCUGUCAAAAAGAGAAAUCUUCAAGUGUCUCAAGCCUCAAAUCUGCGAAUGGCUUCAGCCCUGGGCAAGAAAUCACCCCUUUCCUGAGCAGCCCCAGUGCCCUUUCUCAGCUCUUGUCAUGUCAUCCCUGCAGCUGCACCAAUAAACUGGGCAUUUUUGGAGUUUAGUUUUCAGAUGAGCCCGCUUCAAAUCAAUGGAGCUGCUGCUUUUCGUGACUCCUGGGAAUAAGAUGGCGUGGAAACAACCCACGGCCAUGCCCAAAUAAGAAAACUAAAAGAAUUAUUGGUUUUGGUCAACCUGGAACAUGGCUCUUUUUGCCCUGACAUUUUCCUAGAGGAAAGUGAAACUCUUCAUCUACAGAUUCAAAAAGUCCCAAAGGCACUCUGUCAGACAUCUCCCAACGUGCUCUCUCAGUUAUUGCUGGAUGGAUCAGAAGUUCUCCAGGGAGCAGUGAAGAUGUUUUUGCGGGCUACAAAACCUCAAAGGCUGAAAAUACUCAAUUCCAGUGUCUGCUUCUUGCUUCCAGAGGAGAUAUCUGCUCUUUGUCUUCAUCUUCAUCGUCAUCAUCUUUGUCUUUGUCUUCAUCUUUGUCUUUGCUUUGUCUUUGUCCUCCUUCUCCUUCUUUCUCUCUCUCCUCUUCCUCUUCCUUUUCCUCCUUCCUCCAGCUCCUAAAUCCCCACCUUCCCUUGACCCCCCCUCCUUUCCUUCUCCCCAUCAUGCAUUGCAUGCUGAAUGCAGGAGGCUCUCAAAGGCAAGAGUCGGCCUGGGACACUCUUACCCACAAUAGCAGUGGUGAACAGAACCCAGGUUUUCAGCCAGGAAAUUUCACUGGUAAUCUCCUGCGAGGGAGGCGCUCCCAUUUUUCAUGAUGGUUGGCCCUUGCGGGAUAUGGAUGAAAAGAGAAAGCAUUUCAUUUGCUCUUUGAAAACUGGAGCUAUAGAUCAAGGCCCUGCUCAGUCCCCUGAAGACUAGAAAUGGGAUUUUUGCAAGAAUUGAGGCUAUCCUCUCUGAAAACUAAAACAGUUAUCUACACUUUCAUCGAGAGGUCAGCAGUAGAGAUUUUUCUCCAACAGCUGGAUAAAUCCAGGCUGUUAGUGCCUCUCCUUCCCACUGUUCUCUGUUAUUGCUUUUCAUUACGUGAAGGGUGAGGAACAAGCAAAUACCUCUGCUUUCUAGCUUUGCCCUUGCCCGUUUGUACAAAGCAGCCAAACAUUUCCUUCUGACACUCAGGACCCAAGCACCUU